This 344-nucleotide unclassified non-coding RNA is filed under the name soil metagenome. RNAcentral describes it as "partial contains 5.8S ribosomal RNA, internal transcribed spacer 2, and large subunit ribosomal RNA". The stretch from base 1 to 120 matches the Rfam family "5.8S ribosomal RNA", at positions 35 to 154 of the family's 154-position model. The record is from RNAcentral.
GAUGAAGAACGUAGCGAAAUGCGAUAAGUAAUGUGAAUUGCAGAAAUCAGUGAAUCAUCGAGUCUUUGAACGCACAUUGCGCCCCCUGGUAUUCCGGGGGGCAUGCCUGUCCGAGCGUCAUUGCUGCCCUCAAGCACGGCUUGUGUGUUGGGCCCCGUCCCCUCCCCCGGGGACGGGCCCGAAAGGCAGCGGCGGCACCGCGUCCGAUCCUCGAGCGUAUGGGGCUUUGUCACCCGCUCUGUAGGCCCGGCCGGCGCCAGCCGACACCCAACUUUUAUUUCUAAGGUUGACCUCGGAUCAGGUAGGGAUACCCGCUGAACUUAAGCAUAUCAAUAAGCGGAGGA